Molecule: long non-coding RNA, 3870 nt
Filed under: Canis lupus familiaris (dog)
Lineage: Eukaryota; Metazoa; Chordata; Mammalia; Carnivora; Canidae
Description: lncRNA (ENSCAFG00000055549.1)
Source: RNAcentral
AUGCCCGUACCUCCAGAACUGGAAGUUAUGGUAUCACAAAGAUACCUGCUUAUCCUGGAGACAAACAUUCCUUUUUCUUUUUUUAAGAAUGCCCUGUCUUACAGAUGUACAAGCCAAGCGUGUCAUCGGCCAUUUGAUGUCAUAACUUGUUUAGUUUCAUUCUUAGUUUCUUUCUUUCUAGAAAGAUAUUCAACUUCGGCAGGAAAAAAAUGUUUUUCAUUCUUUUCUGGUAGCUGGAUCCCAAACAAGAUGAAAAAUUACACUGCUGGCCCCAAACCUCCUACAGUUGCUCAUGGGCCUCCAUUCCUCUUUUGCUCAGAUCCUCUGCAUGAAUACAGGCAUGUCUCUGGUACAGCUCUCUACUUUUACUAUCAAUCUCCUCAAUUGAGAAAUAAACUCCCCCAUACUCACCCAUGCCUCCACCUCCAAUUUGUAGACAAGAGCUCUUCUGGCUCUAAAAGAUAGGCAUGCCUGGAAUAUUAACAUUUGUAUGGUAGUUGGUAAAAACAAAAAAACAAAAAAACACAAAAAAAACCUGAGUGUUCUUUUUCCUCUUAUUCUUGUGAAGGCGUACGGAUGUUCUAUAAUGCCAUUUGCAUAUAUGUAUAUAUACAUAUAUAUGCAUACACAUGCAUGUGUAUGUAUAUUUAUGCACAUGAAAAGGACUGCAAUUAUAUAAGUUGGUAGGACAUAAAUGUGGUGGGCUAGGGAUUGUAGGGGAUUUAGAGAUACAUAAAAACCAGCCCUCUCAUCAAGGAGCUUAAAAUCCAGUAGAGAAGGUAUGACAUAGGUGCAAAUAACCCUAGGCUGGGAGAAAUGCAGUAAGUGCUGGAAAAGACAGCUACCGCACCAUGGGAGUUCAAGGGAAGAGAUUCCAUGCAUCCAACAGGUGCAGGAGCCAUGGAAGCCUGUGGCAGGGGAGGCAUCCUGGCAGCAUCCUGAAGGAUGACAGGAGUCACCUCCACUGACAUUGAGGUCGAGUGUCAUCCUAAUGAGGGAAACCAUAAACAGGGAUCCAGAAACAGGCAGGAAAGCAUGCUGGGGUGGGGGAGGAUUGAGGAAGUCACUCUUGGUCAGAGCACAGGGCCUAUAAGGGAAAGAGAGGUCAAGAAUUUGGGGGAAAGGGUUCUGUGGUAGUUUUCUCAGCUGUUGUAACAAAUUGCCACAAACUGGUGGAUGCAGAUAACACAACUCUACCAUUGCACAAUUCUGGAGGAAAGAAGUCCAGAAUGGGUCUCACUGGGCUCAAACCAAAGAGUUUCACCAGACUGUAACCUUUCUGGAGGCUCUAAAGGAGAAACCAUUUUUCUCUUGUCUUUUCCAGUUAAAAACUGCUCCCCUUCAUUGACUCCUUACCCCGUCUGUCUUCAAAGCCAGCAAUGGCUGGUUGGGUCUUUCCCACCUCAUAUCCAAUCACAUUACUCUGACACUGCCUCUCCUGCCUCCUGCUUCCACACUUAAGGAUCCUUGUGAUGACACUGGCUCUACCCAGAUAAUCCAGGAUAAUCUCCUCAUCUCAAAAUCAGCAAUUAGCAACCUUCAUUGCUUCUGCAACCUUAAUUCCUCUUUGCCACAAAAUCUAACAUGUUCCUAGGUUCUGGGAAAUAGGACAUGGACAUCUUUGUGUGGGUGCGGGGAGGGGGAAUUAUUCUGCCUACCAUAAACUGGAACCACAGAUUCAAAGGCCCUGAGUGUCAGGAUUGUCAUCCUCAUUUUUCAUACUAGGGUAGAAAACGCAAUGUCUGUUUUCAGAUUAAAGAUGGUUUUUUUUUUAAAGCAAAUAUUUUCUUGCUUUUAGCUGGAAUUACAGCAAUUCAGCAUAAUGACCCAGGCUGUCUCAUACUGAUUGAAUGUUCCAGUUGGUGGUUAUAGAUGACUUUGAUUAAUAAAACAUGGGGAAAUAAAUUAAAUAUUGAUAAAUGCAGGUUGGUCUGUUCAGUUUUUCCAAACACGGAGCCCAUAGGGAGAGGAAAUCAUAAAAGAGGAUCCCAGUAUUGGAAAUAUUGGGAACUACUACCCUAAAAAACGUGGCUUCCAAGCAUUCCAGUUGGUUCCAUCCAUAGUAGAGAGCAUUCUUUUUCUAUUGUUGACACAUCUCUAGGCUUGCAGGAUGAGAAGUUAGGAAAAGAUUCGAAAAAAUAGAUUUGGCAAAUGCAUUUCAUCUUCCAGCUUGUUUAUGAUUUGAUCAAUAAUUCAUCCCUUAGCAUCUGUCUCUUAAAGACUAUCUUCUCUGUUGUCUUUGUGGAUGACAAAUUAGGGUAUUAAAAAACAAAAUACCUUCUUUUUAAAGCACACGGCAUCUCAAACGAAAUGCCCCAAAUUUGGAGUGUGUAGAUAACCAAAACUAAUGACUUAAAGCCAUACAACAGGAAGACAGAAGAAAUAUCUGACAAAGCAAGAAGCACAAAUGAGAUAACAGAAAAUCCAUCUGGUCUUGGGCACGGAGCUGUUCUAGUGGCCUUUAUUUAUUUGCUUAGUCAAUUUGAAGUUUCUCCCUUUGAAAACAUCAUUGCAGUUAACAUGUCCUACCAUGAACUACUGGAGUGUGAGAUUAUGUAGCUGUUCAUUGCACUGAGCACAGAUUUCUUUCUAUUCCAGCCAUUGGUAUAGAACAUAUUUUAAAGAUUUUAUUUAUUUAUUCAUGACAGACGCACAGAGAGAGGCACAGACACAGGCAGAGGGAGAAGCAGGCUCCCUAUGGGGAGCCUGAUGAGGGACUCGAUCCCAGGACGCCAAGAUCACAUCCUGAGCUGAAGGCAGACGUUCAACCACUGAGCCAUCCAGAUGUCCCCUUGGGCAAUUUUUAAAAAACACAAAUGUGGUCAUUUUACUCCCCUGCUUUGCAAACAUCAUCUCUUUAAAACCCACAAUCCUGUGGUUCUCCACAUUGGCUUGGCAUUAGAAUCACUCAUGGACUUUUAAUAAAAUACCACUGCCUGGAAUCCACUCAGGACCACUUAAAAACGACAACAGGAACACCAAUAAUUGCAAACACUUAUACUAGGCUCACAAUGUGCCAAACAUUUUCCCGAGGGCUACAAAUAUUUCCAUUUAAUCCUAAAACAACUCUGUGAUGAAGACAUCAUUAAGUAUCCCCGAUUUAUAAGUAAGGAAGGUGAGGCUCCCAAGGAUUAACUGCUCAGCUCAAAGUCACGUGACAAAGCUGAGGCUCUGAUCCAGGCAGUCUGGUUUCAGAGUCUCUACUCAGAAAACAAAAACAAAACAAAUUAAGCAAACACAAGGAAAAGCCUCACUGGUAACCUCUGGAGGAUGCUAGAGAACCAACCCACUAUUUUUUAAAAUGCCAAAUAAACACAUAGAAGCAGGUAUUUAUUCUGCCCUUAUGUGUCUAAACUAUACCUUAGGAUAGCUAAUGAUCUCUCUUUGUAGGAAAUUUUUGACUAAUAAAUGAAUGAGUUAAUAAAAUUAGAAUAUCAUUAUUUUACAGUCCUCAACAAAGUAAUGAAUUUAAGCCAUGACCAUCAAUGGAUGCAGAUUUCUCAGAAAGACGUGUCCAGGUUCUUCCUUAUAGAAGUACACAUCACCUCUUCUGUAAUGUUCUUGCUAGAAGAAUCAAAUCUCUUCAAGUUUCUAUAACCAAAUACCAUUUGGAAUAAAAUAAGAGACCAGUGGAACAUGUUACAUGACAUCAUGGCAGCAUGAGCAGCAAAAUCCAGACCGUGGGGAACUCAACAGACAAAACACUUGAUUUUCUUCACGUGUAAGCUGAGAAAGAGAAAGAGAAAAAGAAAGAGAUGGAACCUAAGGAUUAAAAGAUUCAUAUAAACUAAUAGUAAUGUUUGAACGUAUCAUGUUUGGAUCCCAAUUUGAUCAGAUACCUGUAAAAAAUAAAAUCUGGGAACAUUUGAA